GUGUCAGCAGCCGCGGUAAUACGGGGGGUGCAAGCGUUGUCCGGAAUUAUUGGGCGUAAAGAGCUCGUAGGCGGUCUGUCGCGUCGGCUGUGAAAACCCGGGGCUCAACCCCGGGCCUGCAGUCGAUACGGGCAGACUAGAGUUCGGUAGGGGAGACUGGAAUUCCUGGUGUAGCGGUGAAAUGCGCAGAUAUCAGGAGGAACACCGGUGGCGAAGGCGGGUCUCUGGGCAGUAACUGACGCUGAGGAGCGAAAGCGUGGGUAGCGAACAGGAUUAGAUACCCCGGUAGUCC
Molecule: ribosomal RNA, 292 nt
Filed under: uncultured bacterium
Lineage: Bacteria
Description: partial 16S ribosomal RNA
Rfam family: Bacterial small subunit ribosomal RNA
Source: RNAcentral